Long non-coding RNA from Canis lupus familiaris (dog), 1100 nucleotides. RefSeq lists it as uncharacterized. The record is from RefSeq and is a predicted model, not a curated record. Lineage: Eukaryota; Metazoa; Chordata; Mammalia; Carnivora; Canidae. The transcript has 6 exons.
GCGUCGCCCGAGGCGUCUGCGCCCCGGGCGCCGAGUGUGAGGGCCACGGGGAGGUCGGUAAGAGGCUGCGCCGAGGCGCCUGGGGCAGAGCGGCUUGGGCCGGUCCUCGGCCGCCGUCAGGGUGCAGGCCCCUGUGGUGAUGCUGGCCUAGAUCUUGGAGGAGGAUGUUGAUGGUUAUGGGAGUGAAGUGACACGAACUAGAGCAGAUCCUUAGUGGUAAGACGGGCGUGAAAGGAAGUCCUUCGAGGAGGGUGUAGAAGCUCCCAUCCGGAUGCCCCAGGAACCCUGCCUGGAGCCUACGAGCCGCAGCAAGUGCUCCAUGUGGGUAUGGUUUCUGGCUGACUAAAUUCUAGGAUAUUCAGUAUUGGCUGACUGAAGCUCUCAUUCAAGAUGUAAUGGAACCAACGUAAUUUUGCUUUAUGGUUUCCAUGAAGGAGUGCAUCCCUCAUUCUCACCAAGGAAAGUACCAGGCAGAUGAAAAACCAAAACCAUCUUAGGCAGCCUCCAAUUAUAAACUCAGAAGAGACCUUUGGGUACAUAAGUUCAGCCUUUGAAGAUAGAGACAAAGCACACAGGCUGUGGCGGUGCCAGAUGUCAGAGCUACACACAUGGUUGCCUGCAAGAAGGAGAGAGUAUCCCUUACAGCUCUCUCUUAGGAAUGAGGAGUCUUUUCUCAGUUCCCUCAGCAGGAUAUCUCCAACCAGAACAUGUCACACAUUCCCUCCAGAACCAGCUAUUAAUAAAGGAGAUGGGAUAACUCUUAGACCAACAAGGCCACCUCCUGGGGCUGUGGUAGGGCCAGCUUCCCCUAAGAACAUGGAGGUGCAGCUGCAUCUCUGUACUGAAGUAUAAUAUUUAAUAAGCAUCCUAUGGUGAUAAUAGUGAUGAUGUGAAUACUAUGAAUCUCGACCAUUUUUGUGUGUGAUGUACACUAUGCUGAGCUGGUUAAUAUAUCCAUUUAAUUCUCAUAACUUGGGGAUCCCUGGGUGGCGCAGUGGUUUGGCGCCUGCCUUUGGCCCAGGGCGCGAUCCUGGAGACCCGGGAUCGAAUCCCACAUCGGGCUCCCGGUGCAUGGAGCCUGCUUCUCCCUCGGCCUCUCU